GUCCACGCCCUAAACGAUGUCUACUAGUUGUUGGGGAGUAAAUCCUGGUAACGCAGCUAACGCGUGAAGUAGACCGCCUGGGGAGUACGGUCGCAAGAUUAAAACUCAAAGGAAUUGACGGGGGCCCGGCACAAGCGGUGGAUGAUGUGGUUUAAUUCGAUGCAACGCGAAAAACCUUAACCUACCCUUGACAUGCCAGGAAGCCUGCAGAAAUGCAGGGGUGCCCGAAAGGGAACCUGGACACAGGUGCUGCAUGGCUGUCGU
This 264-nucleotide ribosomal RNA is filed under the name uncultured bacterium. Its description in RNAcentral is "partial 16S ribosomal RNA". It matches the Rfam family "Bacterial small subunit ribosomal RNA", at positions 793 to 1055 of the family's 1533-position model. The record is from RNAcentral.